UAGGGAAUCUUCCGCAAUGGACGAAAGUCUGACGGAGCAACGCCGCGUGAGUGAAGAAGGCUUUCGGUUCGUAAAACUCUGUUGUUAGGGAAGAAAAAAUGUAUAGUAACUAUAUACAAAAGAGACGGUACCUAACCAGAAAGCCACGGCUAACUACGUGCCAGCAGCCGCGGUAAUACGUAAGGUCCGAGCGUUGUCCGGAAUCAUUGGGCGUAAAGGGUACGUAGGCGGAUAAGCAAGUUAGAAGUGAAAUCCUAUAGCUCAACUAUAGUAAGCUUUUAAAACUGCUCAUCUUGAGGUAUGGAAGGGAAAGUGGAAUUCCUAGUGUAGCGGUGAAAUGCGCAGAUAUUAGGAGGAAUACCGGUGGCGAAGGCGACUUUCUGGCCAUAUACUGACGCUGAGGUACGAAAGCGUGGGUAGCAAACAGG
RNAcentral lists this ribosomal RNA (428 nucleotides) under Verrucomicrobiota bacterium. RNAcentral describes it as "Verrucomicrobia bacterium partial 16S ribosomal RNA". It matches the Rfam family "Bacterial small subunit ribosomal RNA", at positions 355 to 776 of the family's 1533-position model. The record is from RNAcentral. Lineage: Bacteria; Pseudomonadati; Verrucomicrobiota.